GACGAACGCUGGCGGCGUGCUUAACACAUGCAAGUCGAACGGAAAGGCCCUGCUUGCAGGGUACUCGAGUGGCGAACGGGUGAGUAACACGUGGGUGAUCUGCCCUGCACUUCGGGAUAAGCCUGGGAAACUGGGUCUAAUACCGGAUAGGAGCCAUUUUUAGUGUGAUGGUUGGAAAGUUUUUUCGGUGUAGGAUGAGCUCGCGGCCUAUCAGCUUGUUGGUGGGGUAAUGGCCUACCAAGGCGGCGACGGGUAGCCGUCCUGAGAGGGUGGACGGCCACAUUGGGACUGAGAUACGGCCCAGACUCCUACGGGAGGCAGCAGUGGGGAAUAUUGCACAAUGGGCGCAAGCCUGAUGCAGCGACGCCGCGUGGGGGAUGACGGCCUUCGGGUUGUAAACUCCUUUCGCUAGGGACGAAGCUUUUUGUGACGGUGCCUAGAUAAGAAGCACCGGCUAACUACGUG
RNAcentral lists this ribosomal RNA (465 nucleotides) under uncultured bacterium. Its description in RNAcentral is "partial 16S ribosomal RNA". It matches the Rfam family "Bacterial small subunit ribosomal RNA", at positions 28 to 507 of the family's 1533-position model. The record is from RNAcentral.